Molecule: ribosomal RNA, 253 nt
Filed under: uncultured bacterium
Lineage: Bacteria
Description: partial 16S ribosomal RNA
Rfam family: Bacterial small subunit ribosomal RNA
Source: RNAcentral
UACAGAGGGUGCGAGCGUUAAUCGGAAUUACUGGGCGUAAAGCGUGCGUAGACGGUUAUGUAAGUCGGAUGUGGAAGCCCCGGGCUUAACCUGGGAAUUGCAUUCGAGACUGCAUAGCUAGGAUGCGGAAGAGGGAAGUGGAAUUUCCGGUGUAGCGGUGAAAUGCGUAGAUAUCGGAAGGAACAUCAGUGGCGAAAGCGACUUCCUGGUCCAGCAUCGACGUUCAGGCACGAAAGCGUGGGGAGCAAACAGG